ACCACCCCGUCGAUAGGCCGCCCGUGGACGUGCCGCAAGGCACUCCGAGCGCAGCGGUCCUAAUCGCCCGUGCGGCUUGACUA
This 83-nucleotide ribosomal RNA is filed under the name Gemmatimonadaceae bacterium. RNAcentral describes it as "partial 23S ribosomal RNA". Lineage: Bacteria; Pseudomonadati; Gemmatimonadota; Gemmatimonadia; Gemmatimonadales; Gemmatimonadaceae. The record is from RNAcentral.